This 81-nucleotide transfer RNA is filed under the name Prymnesium neolepis. Lineage: Eukaryota; Haptophyta; Prymnesiales; Prymnesiaceae. The record is from RNAcentral.
CCGUUGAAAGCCGCUGAGUCCCGCGAGGACCGUCGUUCCAGUGGCGAAGAUCGUCCCCGUCGUUCGGCCGAUUCUGACGAA